Molecule: ribosomal RNA, 508 nt
Filed under: uncultured bacterium
Lineage: Bacteria
Description: partial 16S ribosomal RNA
Rfam family: Bacterial small subunit ribosomal RNA
Source: RNAcentral
AUUGAACGCUGGCGGCAUGCCUUACACAUGCAAGUCGAACGGCAGCGGGGGGGAAGCUUGCUUUUCCUGCCGGCGAGUGGCGAACGGGUGAGUAAUACAUCGGAACGUGCCCUGUAGUGGGGGAUAACUAGUCGAAAGAUUAGCUAAUACCGCAUACGACCUGAGGGUGAAAGUGGGGGACCGCAAGGCCUCAUGCUAUAGGAGCGGCCGAUGUCUGAUUAGCUAGUUGGUGGGGUAAAGGCCUACCAAGGCGACGAUCAGUAGCUGGUCUGAGAGGACGAUCAGCCACACUGGGACUGAGACACGGCCCAGCCUCCUACGGGAGGCAGCAGUGGGGAAUUUUGGACAAUGGGCGAAAGCCUGAUCCAGCAAUGCCGCGUGUGUGAAGAAGGCCUUCGGGUUGUAAAGCACUUUUGUCCGGAAAGAAAUGGCUCUGGUUAAUACCUGGGGUCGAUGACGGUACCGGAAGAAUAAGGACCGGCUAACUACGUGCCAGCAGCCGCAGUAA